CAUUCACGGAGAGUUUGAUCCUGGCUCAGGACGAACGCUGGCGGCGUGCUUAACACAUGCAAGUCGAACGAUGAACCACUUCGGUGGGGAUUAGUGGCGAACGGGUGAGUAACACGUGGGCAAUCUGCCCUGCACUCUGGGACAAGCCCUGGAAACGGGGUCUAAUACCGGAUACUGAUCAUCUUGGGCAUCUUGGAUGA
RNAcentral lists this ribosomal RNA (200 nucleotides) under Streptomyces sp. di188. RNAcentral describes it as "16S rRNA. Bacterial SSU". It matches the Rfam family "Bacterial small subunit ribosomal RNA", at positions 1 to 199 of the family's 1533-position model. Lineage: Bacteria; Bacillati; Actinomycetota; Actinomycetes; Kitasatosporales; Streptomycetaceae. The record is from RNAcentral.